Molecule: long non-coding RNA, 1620 nt
Organism: Oncorhynchus keta (chum salmon)
Lineage: Eukaryota; Metazoa; Chordata; Actinopteri; Salmoniformes; Salmonidae
Exons: 5
Source: RefSeq, a predicted model, not a curated record
CAAUGAAUCAUCCUUUAUUAUCAGCACACUGGAGAGGUUCCAACCAUCUCAAUGCCCUAUAGUACACCUGUCAAUCAAUGAAUCAUCCUUUAUUAUCAGCACGCUGGAGAGGUUCCAACCAACUCAAUGCCCUAUAGUACACCUGUCAAUCAAGAGCUCUGCAGGGGCAGUUCCAGCAGUUGUCUUAAAUAGGGAUAUACACAGACAAGUUAUAUUUCCAUGAUUUAGCAUAAUUAAUUCAUCAUUACCAUUUUGUUUCAUUCAUGUGACUGACCAAUACUGGCUCAUAACAUGUGACAGACCAAUACCUCACAAGGUAUCUUCUCUCUAAGCUGAGAUUUUGAAACAGAUAUCUUUCAUUCUCAAAACAAAGGUCUGGACGUACUGUCAAAAUGCAGCUACUGACAGUGAGGAUUUGUUCAGUCAGUCACACAUGCAUGAACACAGAAAACAGUCAUUAGAAAAGCACAAACAUUAAAAAAAAUUCCAGUACAAUUUAAAAUACAUUUUCAAGACUGGCCACCUGUAAUUACCUGGCACCAUCUGCAACUCUGUUUAAGAAGUUCAAUAUGUUGUCUAUUUAUGACAUUAAUGUACGCCAAUUAUGCACUUCUAUCUACAAAUAUUUAUACAGCCCAGACAGUUUACUUAAACCCUUCAAUGGACUCUUCCAGGUUAAUUCUGAAAUCCACCGAAAUAACACAAGACCUCACAUUGCCAGGUCACUGUCAGACAUGGAGGUACCAUACCCUGGAAUUCUUAUCUUCACAUUGCCAGGUCGCUGUCAGACAUGGAGGUACCAUACCCUGGAAUUCUUAUCGUCACAUUGCCACGUCGCUGUCAGACAUAGAGGUACCAUACCCUGAAAUUCUUAUCUUCACAUUGCCACGUCGCUGUCAGACAUGGAGGUACCAUACCCUGGAAUUCUUAUCUUCACAUUGCCAGGUCACUGUCAGACAUGGAGGUACCAUACCCUGGAAUUCUUAUCGUCACAUUGCCACGUCGCUGUCAGACAUAGAGGUACCAUACCCUGGAAUUCUUAUCUUCACAUUGCCAGGUCACUGUCAGACAUGGAGGUACCAUACCCUGGAAUUCUUAUCUUCACAUUGCCACGUCGCUGUCAGACAUGGAGGUACCAUACCCUGGAAUUCUUAUCUUCACAUUGCCACGUCGCUGUCAGACAUGGAGGUACCAUACCCUGGAAUUCUUAUCUUCACAUUGCCAGGUCACUGUCAGACAUGGAGGUACCAUACCCUGGAAUUCUUAUCUUCACAUUGCCACGUCGCUGUCAGACAUGGAGGUACCAUACCCUGGAAUUCUUAUCUUCACAUUGCCAGGUCACUGUCAGACAUGGAGGUACCAUACCCUGGAAUUCUUAUCUUCACAUUGCCAAAACAUCAUCAUCCCGCAAUAACUUCAAGCAAAGACUUGGGGUCAGCCUGAUGAACCAAACUACUCUGUAAUCUUCUCCAUAUAGUGUCAAUACACUCACAUGUACACACCCAAAUAAACAAAACCAUUUUUUUUUCAUGAUUACAAUUAAUUUAUACAUUUAUAAUUAGUAAGUUUUUUUAUCUGUUUUAACAAACCUUUUUUAUUUUUGUACUUAUGUAUUGUAUA